GUGUCGCAGGGAAACCGAUAAACACACCGCCUGGGGAGUACGACCGCAAGGUUAAAACUCAAAUGAAUUGACGGGGACCCGCACAAGUAGUGGAGCAUGUGGUUUAAUUCGAAGAUACGCGCAGAACCUUACCAACACUUGACAUGUUCGUCGCGACUCUAAGAGAUUAGAGUUUUCGGUUCGGCCGGACGAAACACAGGUGCUGCAUGGCUGUCGUCAGCUCGUGUCGUGAGAUGUUGGGUUAAGUCCCGCAACGAGCGCAACCCUCACUUUUAGUUGCCAUCAUUAAGUUGGGCACUCUGAAAGAACUGCCAGUGAUAAGCUGGAGGAAGGUGGGGAUGACGUCAAGUCCUCAUGGCCCUUACGUGUUGGGCUACACACGUGCUACAAUGGCAUCUACAACAGGAAGCAAAACGGCAACGUUAAGCAAAUCCCGAAAAGAUGCCUCAGUUCGGAUUGCACUCUGCAACUCGAGUGCAUGAAGCUGGAAUUACUAGUAAUCGUGGAUCAGCGUGCCACGGUGAAUGCGUUCCCGGGUCUUGUACACACCGCCCGUCACACCAUGGGAGUUGGUUCUACCUUAAGGCAAGGUUUUAAACCCUUGACCACGGUAUAGUCAGCGACUGGGGUGAAGUCGUAACAAGGUAGCCGUAGGGGAACCUGCGGCUGGAUUACCUCCUUU
This 682-nucleotide ribosomal RNA is filed under the name Candidatus Pelagibacter sp. Its description in RNAcentral is "bacterial SSU rRNA". It matches the Rfam family "Bacterial small subunit ribosomal RNA", at positions 843 to 1533 of the family's 1533-position model. The record is from RNAcentral. Lineage: Bacteria; Pseudomonadati; Pseudomonadota; Alphaproteobacteria; Candidatus Pelagibacterales; Candidatus Pelagibacteraceae.